This 970-nucleotide long non-coding RNA is filed under the name Pogona vitticeps (central bearded dragon). RNAcentral's name for it is "lncRNA (ENSPVIG00000011150.1)". Lineage: Eukaryota; Metazoa; Chordata; Lepidosauria; Squamata; Agamidae. The record is from RNAcentral.
AUUAAUUCCUUUGCCCAAUAGAGAUGACACAACUCCGUUAGAUGAUGAUUGUAAUUUUGCAAGGGAUAGCUUUACUGUAUUCGUGAAGGCUUUCAUGGUCGGGAUCUAAUGGUUGUUGUGGGUUUUUCAGGCUCUUUGGCCGUGUUCUGAAGGUUGUUCUUGAAGAUGCUGGCCACAGAGACUGGCGAAAUGUUAGGAAGAACAACCUUCAGAACAUGGCUGAAGAGCCUGAAAAACCCACAACAACCGAUAGUUUUACUCCUUUUGCAAUGUUGCUCUAGCUUAUUAGUUACUUUUAUAAGUUACGGAAGGGUGACCUCGCUAAAUGAUGAAGGAACACAUGCCGUACAGGGGCUUAUUGAAGUGAGGAUGGAGUGGGUCCCUAGUAAGUGGCUUUAAGCAUUUCCAAAUCUUUCUUUCAGAAACAAAAAAUAAAGUGAAGAGUUCCAUUUGACGAAAAGGAAACACAAACUACUUUCCAGUAUAGAUAACUGUGAGAAUGCGCUAUAUUAACAUCCUGACAUUUCUUCCCCGCGGUAAUCAACAUGAGUCGAUCUGUGGCAUUUUUCUUCUGUCGACCCGGGAAAUUGCUCCAGGGCUCCGUGGAGAAAAUUAAACACUGCCUGGUGGUUUGUUUUUAAUGGAGAGAGAGAAAACCAUUCCAGUGGGGGUGGAAGAGUCUGAUGAGGUCGGGGAUCACAAAAGCAAAAUACAGAUUGUAUUCUGCAUGCGUCCACCUCACAGUCUUCUGAAGCACAUAUUUACUCAUGAAAUAAAGGAUCUGAGGCUGGAUUUCCCUGUUCUCAACCCAACAGGAACCACUACACGACAUAGCCUUUCUUAUUGGAGAUGUCAAGGCAGAAACGGAUUGGUUGAAAAACAAUCCAACAGUAAAUGAGUUUAAAGGGUGCGAUAUACAAAACAGCACACCAUGAAUAAAACUUCCCAGUAUGUAAAUGAGAAGCUGGGC